Molecule: non-coding RNA, 101 nt
Filed under: Streptococcus alactolyticus
Lineage: Bacteria; Bacillati; Bacillota; Bacilli; Lactobacillales; Streptococcaceae
Description: Streptococcus RNA 266
Rfam family: Streptococcus RNA 266
Source: RNAcentral
AAUGAGUUGUUUAGUCGCGGUCAUAUUGGACUUUUUGUAUAUACUCAAAAAGGCUCCAUAAUUUCCAUGGUGGAUUUACCCACUACAGAAAUUAUAGAGCC